Long non-coding RNA from Ruditapes philippinarum (Manila clam), 621 nucleotides. RefSeq lists it as uncharacterized. The transcript has 4 exons. Lineage: Eukaryota; Metazoa; Mollusca; Bivalvia; Venerida; Veneridae. The record is from RefSeq and is a predicted model, not a curated record.
UGAAGACAACUUCAGUUACGACGGUUAAAUAGAUAGAAUUUUCAGAUACAAUCAAAAGUUCAGAUACAAUCGGAUUCAUAAUGGCAAGAUUUACAAGUUCCGUCUGUAAACUUAUAUUUAUAGUGACAAUAUCUACAUCAGCAUCGAUGUCAUUGUCACAAGAUAGAAUGAAGUCAGUUGAUUCUUUGAAUAGAAUAUUAUCAAAAAGGUCUGCAGCAGAACUUAUAAACGCUGUUUUGCUGGCACCAAAUGCUUGUCUGCCAGUUGAUGACUUCCGCAUUGGUCUAGAAAAUCUGAUACAGAUGGAACUGUCUAGAAUGCAAAGCUGUAUAAGUCACCAAGAAUCACAAAGAAAUGUCGACAAUUAAAUAAUGAUUGCUGGUUGCGGUUGUUAAACAUGGAAGAUGGAAAAUGGUCAUAUCAUCACAAGCGUUUUAUGUUCACAUCUGUAAAUUUACAGCUUAAAAUGACACUUUUUAACAGAUUGGAAAACAAUAUUAUGUACAGAACAGAAUAUAUUAAAUUAUUGUCGAAAUCGUGAACUGUUCAAGUAGUGUUGUUAAAUAGUUACAUGGAAAUGUCUUCAAAUUGUUACUAUCAAUAAAAAUUUAUCAAACCAUU